AUUGAACGCUGGCGGCAGGCCUAACACAUGCAAGUCGAGCGGUAGAGAGAAGCUUGCUUCUCUUGAGAGCGGCGGACGGGUGAGUAAUGCCUAGGAAUCUGCCUGGUAGUGGGGGAUAACGUUCGGGAACGGACGCUAAUACCGCAUACGUCCUACGGGAGAAAGCAGGGGACCUUCGGGCCUUGCGCUAUCAGAUGAGCCUAGGUCGGAUUAGCUAGUUGGUGAGGUAAUGGCUCACCAAGGCGACGAUCCGUAACUGGUCUGAGAGGAUGAUCAGUCACACUGGAACUGAGACACGGUCCAGACUCCUACGGGAGGCAGCAGUGGGGAAUAUUGGACAAUGGGCGAAAGCCUGAUCCAGCCAUGCCGCGUGUGUGAAGAAGGUCUUCGGAUUGUAAAGCACUUUAAGUUGGGAGGAAGGGUUGUAGAUUAAUACUCUGCAAUUUUGACGUUACCGACAGAAUAAGCACCGGCUAACUCUGUGCCAGCAGCCGCGGUAAUACAGAGGGUGCAAGCGUUAAUCGGAAUUACUGGGCGUAAAGCGCGCGUAGGUGGUUUGUUAAGUUGGAUGUGAAAUCCCCGGGCUCAACCUGGGAACUGCAUUCAAAACUGACUGACUAGAGUAUGGUAGAGGGUGGUGGAAUUUCCUGUGUAGCGGUGAAAUGCGUAGAUAUAGGAAGGAACACCAGUGGCGAAGGCGACCACCUGGACUAAUACUGACACUGAGGUGCGAAAGCGUGGGGAGCAAACAGG
Molecule: ribosomal RNA, 753 nt
Filed under: uncultured Pseudomonas sp.
Lineage: Bacteria; Pseudomonadati; Pseudomonadota; Gammaproteobacteria; Pseudomonadales; Pseudomonadaceae
Description: bacterial SSU rRNA
Rfam family: Bacterial small subunit ribosomal RNA
Source: RNAcentral